AGGGCACCAUCAGGAGUGGAGCCUGCGGCUUAAUUUGACUCAACACGGGAAAACUCACCCGGCCCGGACACUGGAAGGAUUGACAGAUUGAGAGCUCUUUCUUGAUUCAGUGGGUGGUGGUGCAUGGCCGUUCUUAGUUGGUGGAGUGAUUUGUCUGGUUAAUUCCGAUAACGAACGAGACUCUAGCCUACUAAAUAGAUCGUCGGCUUACAAACGCCGGCGAGACUUCUUAGAGGGACAGGCGGUGAUUCAACCGCACGAAACAGAGCAAUAACAGGUCUGUGAUGCCCUUAGAUGUCCGGGGCCCCACGCGCGCUACACUGAAGUGAUCAGCGUGCUUUUUCAACCUACUCUGUCAAGAGUGGGGAACCCAAUGAACCUUCUUCGUGAUUGGGAUAGGGGAUUGUAAUUAUUCCCCUUGAACGAGGAAUUCCCAGUAAGCGCGAGUCAUAAGCUCGCGUUGAUUACGUCCCUGCCCUUUGUACACACCGCCCGUCGCUACUACCGAUUGAAUGUUUU
This 519-nucleotide ribosomal RNA is filed under the name uncultured eukaryote. RNAcentral describes it as "SSU rRNA". It matches the Rfam family "Eukaryotic small subunit ribosomal RNA", at positions 1161 to 1699 of the family's 1831-position model. The record is from RNAcentral.